AUGUAGUGUGACAUGCCCGUUGCGUUUUACUCUGAUGUUAAAUUAAUUAUUAUUUAAUUACUUUUGGGUAACGGGGUGUUACACAUA
Molecule: microRNA precursor, 87 nt
Filed under: Medicago truncatula (barrel medic)
Lineage: Eukaryota; Viridiplantae; Streptophyta; Magnoliopsida; Fabales; Fabaceae
Description: MIR2617 microRNA precursor family
Rfam family: MIR2617 microRNA precursor family
Source: Rfam by way of RNAcentral